UCCCCGUUGCCGGGGCAGUCUCGCUAGUCAAAUAGAACUAACGACGAGGGUUGCGCUCGUUGAAGGACUUAACCUAACAUCUCACGACACGAGCUGACGACGGCCAUGCAGCACCUGUCACCGGGUUCCCCGAAAGGCACAGCUCUGUUUCCAGAGCCUUCCCGGGAUGUCAAGCCCUGGUAAGGUUCUUCGCGUAGCAUCGAAUUAAACCACACGCUCCACCGCUUGUGCGGGCCCCCGCCAAUUCCUUUGAGUUUUAGCCUUGCGGCCGUACUCCCCAGGCGGGAUGCUUAACGCGUUGGCUUCGCUACCGGACGGGUCGAUACGUCCGACAGCUAGCAUCCAUCGUUUACAGCGUGGACUAC
This 365-nucleotide unclassified non-coding RNA is filed under the name uncultured bacterium. RNAcentral describes it as "contains 16S-23S intergenic spacer region". The record is from RNAcentral.